CUUUUCAAUGUAAAUAUGGGGUAAACACCAUGUAGGAAAAUAGUGGCUGAUAAAAUCCAAGAGGUAACCUCCUUCCUCUUCUUUUCCAGGACCCAAAAUGUUGAAAGCUCUCUUGAUGGAAGAAUUAAUAGGCUCUAGUUGCUGACUCAUGAAACCCCUAAAGAAGAUCAAGUCAUCAUUAUUUAUUUCCUUCAGAUGAGCUAUGAAGAAGUUAAUUCAGAGAUCUCAACCACGGCCAAGAAGAGUAACUUGAUUUUUGCAUCACUAUCUUCCUUUCUGCAAAGUACAUGGCAAUUAAAUUGAGAAUCUUCUCUUCUCGUGAUGGGGCCUGUGGUGGGGAGGUUGACCAAGAGAGAAAAGACUGCCUGGCGAUCCUGUCUCCUGCGCUCGCUGAAGUGUCACUCCAGGACCUUGCUUCAGACAGGUAAGCUCCUCCAUCGAUUAAGCCAGUGAUGUCUCUGUUGCUGACUUUGGGCCCUUUCUUUGGUCUGGAAGCUGGACAA
This 503-nucleotide long non-coding RNA is filed under the name Capra hircus (goat). RNAcentral describes it as "lncRNA (ENSCHIG00000004291.1)". The record is from RNAcentral. Lineage: Eukaryota; Metazoa; Chordata; Mammalia; Artiodactyla; Bovidae.